Molecule: transfer RNA, 76 nt
Filed under: Actinomycetota bacterium
Lineage: Bacteria; Bacillati; Actinomycetota
Description: tRNA-Asp
Source: RNAcentral
GGGAGCCAGCUGUGCCGGUUGAGUCCGUACCGGCCUGUCACGCCGGAGGUCGCGGGUUCGAGUCCCGUCGCUCCCG